AAGCAACUGCUUAAAACUCAAAGGACUUGGCGGUGCUUUAUACCCUUCUAGAGGAGCCUGUUCUAUAAUCGAUAAACCCCGAUAGACCUCACCAGUCCUUGCUAAUACAGUCUAUAUACCGCCAUCUUCAGCAAACCCUAAAAAGGAAUAAAAGUAAGCACAAUCACAUUACAUAAAAACGUUAGGUCAAGGUGUAACCUAUGGAGUGGGAAGAAAUGGGCUACAUUUUCUAUUUCAAGAA
Molecule: ribosomal RNA, 241 nt
Filed under: Oreotragus oreotragus (klipspringer)
Lineage: Eukaryota; Metazoa; Chordata; Mammalia; Artiodactyla; Bovidae
Description: partial 12S ribosomal RNA
Source: RNAcentral